This is a non-coding RNA of Misgurnus anguillicaudatus (oriental weatherfish), 568 nucleotides long. NCBI's taxonomy places the organism in Eukaryota, Metazoa, Chordata, Actinopteri, Cypriniformes, Cobitidae. The record is from the annotation of a RefSeq genome assembly.
GUUUAUGUCUAGAUGCUGUGUAACAUCUGAUUGUAUUACUGUAUAGCUUGUUAUUCUCUUUGUUUGACCAUUUUGGGGUGAUAAUGAAAAUGCUACAAUUUGGUGUUCUGCUGAUGAUUAUUUCACAUGUUAGCGGUCAGUCAUUGACAUCCUCUGAUUCAGUAGUGAAGAAACCUGGAGAAUCAGUCACUCUGUCUUGUACUGUGUCUGGUUUCUCUAUGGGCAGCCACUGGAUGCAGUGGGUCCGUCAGAAACCACAGAGAGGACUGGAAUGGAUUGGAUAUAUAGAGACUGGCACAACUGCAUAUUAUGCUCAAUCUCUACAGGGUCAGUUCUCCAUCACCAAAGACAACAGUAAAAACAUGCUGCUUUUAGAAAUUAAAAAACUGAAGACUGAGGACACCGCUGUUUAUUAUUGUGCAAGAGACUCACAGUUAGUCAAAAAAUUGCAGCGCUACACAAAAACUGUUCAUGCAUGAAAUGCAUGCACUGAAGGCCUGACAGCUGUUGAACAGAAAAAAUUCAGAUAUUCAAUCAACUCUGCCCUGAUGAAAACUGUUUAGUUGAA